UACGUAGGGGCGAGCGUGUCGGAUUAUUGGCGUAAGAGCGUGUAGGCUGUUCGGUAAGUCUGCCGUGAAACCUAGAGGCUCAACCUCGGGCGUGCGGUGGAUACUGUCGGGCUAGAGUCCGGAAGGGGCGAGUGGAAUUCCUGGUGUAGCGGUGAAAUGCGCAGAUAUCAGGAGGAACACCUACGGCGAAGGCAGCUCGCUGGGACGGUACUGACGCUGAGACGCGAAAGCGUGGGGAGCAAACA
This 245-nucleotide ribosomal RNA is filed under the name uncultured bacterium. RNAcentral describes it as "partial 16S ribosomal RNA". It matches the Rfam family "Bacterial small subunit ribosomal RNA", at positions 524 to 774 of the family's 1533-position model. The record is from RNAcentral.